This 320-nucleotide ribosomal RNA is filed under the name uncultured bacterium. RNAcentral describes it as "bacterial SSU rRNA". It matches the Rfam family "Bacterial small subunit ribosomal RNA", at positions 32 to 331 of the family's 1533-position model. The record is from RNAcentral.
AAUCAACGCUGGCGGCGUGCCUCAGACAUGCAAGUCGAACGCGAAAGUUUCCUUCGGGAGACAAGUAGAGUGGCGCACGGGUGAGUAACACGUAGGUAAUCUACCUUUGGAUGGGGAAUAACAACCGGAAACGGUUGCUAAUACCGCAUAAUGCAGCGGCACCUAAUGGUGACAGUUGUUAAAGCGGGGGAUCGAAAGACCUCGCGUCUGAAGAGGAGCCUGCGGCGGAUUAGCAGUUGGUAAGGUAAUGGCUUACCAAGGCUACGAUCCGUAACCGGCCUGAGAGGGGCGGUCGGUCACACUGACACUGACAUACGGGU